Molecule: long non-coding RNA, 355 nt
Organism: Pristis pectinata (smalltooth sawfish)
Lineage: Eukaryota; Metazoa; Chordata; Chondrichthyes; Rhinopristiformes; Pristidae
Exons: 3
Source: RefSeq, a predicted model, not a curated record
CAGGUGGUGCCCAAGGUUAUUUAAUGCAAGCACACAAAGCAUUUCUGCAUGAGGUUUACCAAUCUGAAGUUCAACCAUAAAGAAAAGCAUUUUCUCUCCAAUGAAUUCUCCAGAGGACAAGUCAUUGAUGCAUUUAAAGGAAACCUAAGUAAGCACAUCGAGGAGAAGGAAAUGGAACAAAGAACAAAACCAUUAGAUUAGAUGGGGUGCGGUGGAAGGAUGUUCCUUCGGAGAUCUUAACACUGGUACACCUCUACAGGGAGAACUGGGAUGUGUAGCACUUGAAGCUUAGGAGAUACAUGACCUGCUAAAGUUUGGAAAUGUUGACUGAGAUUUGUGCACAUUUCCAACAGGU